UUGUGAAUGUUUUGAACAAAAGAUCAAAAGGUUAAAUAAUAAAGACAAAUUUUCACAGCCUUCUUUGCUCAUAUAUACCAAGGGUGCCAAUGUUAGUGGAGGGCACUAUACAUGCUUGUGCAGUCAUACACACAUACACACUUAUUCUAAUCUACACUCCUCUUGCGUGACCUGCCAAUUCAGCCCUUUUCCCAAUACACUUCCAAAACACAAUGAAAAGUAGUAUUUCACAGGAUUUCCCACUAGCAAUUCAGCCCUCUAUUGAUACACUUCCUCAACAUGACUGUGGCUCAACACAGGGGCAGCUGUGGCGCAGGUGGUAGAGCGGGUUGUCCACUAAUUGUAUAGCUGUGGCCCAACAUGGGGGUGGCUGUGGCUUAGGUGGUAGAGCGGGUUGUCCACUAAUCGUAGGGUUGGCGGUUCGAUUCCUGGCCCACAUGACUCCACAUGUUGAAGUGUCCUUGGGCAAGACACUGAACUCCAAGUUGCUCCCAAUGGCAAAUUAGUGCACUGCAUGGCGUGUGUGUGUGAAUGAGACACAUUGUAAAUCGCUAUAUAAGUGCGCCAUUUACAAUAGAGUGGUAUCCAUAGGACUUCCUGUGACAUAGUUCCUGUUUUCAAAUUGUUUAUUGGGAAGCUUCUUUUAAUCGUUUAAACUAUACUGUAGCGCAAAUAAUUUUGCAUUAUAGUUUUUUUUUUGUUGUUGUAGUUUCACUUCUGCCAUAUUUUCUUUUUUUUUGAAGACCACUCUUGUUUUUUUUUUACUAAAGACAGCAAGCAGAGUCCAUCCACAUCGGAUCUGUCUAAAAUAACGUCAACUAAUCUUCGGCUAAGCUACACACACUCCUGAGAUACCAGUGAUCCUGACCCCUUCUGCUCUCCAGACCUGCCUGAUCCGUCCUGAUGCCCUAUUUCUGGUUGGAGUUCUCAUCGAUUGGAAGUCACAUGCUGCUGCUGCUGAGGAUGGUACCACUUCAAAAUCAUAAAGAUGGCUUUGAACCUCAAUUCAACAGUUAUGCUGUGAUGGCUAGGACUACAAUUGAUAUUAUAGCUUUAGGACUGCAGUUGCCACAAACAGUUGUAAUGAAUAAAAACUGUAAUGAGUUUCCUGGUUACACAAUUGCACUUUUUGACCACGUAGUAUUAGCACAUUUAUAGACGGGAUUUAUUUAUAAUCAUACUAUCCAGUGUCACCCAGAUGAGGAUGGUUUCCCUUUUGGUCUGGUUCCUCUCAAGGUUUCUUACUCAUAUCAUCUCAGGGAGUUUUUCCUUACCACCCUCACCUCUGGCUUGCUCAUUAGGGAUAAAUUCAUACAUUUAAAAUCUACAUCUUGAAUUUAUAUAUUUCUGUAAAGCUGCUUUGGGACAAUGUCCAUUGUUAAAACUGCUAUACCAAUGAACCGAAUUACCUGCACAGCACCUCAAAGUAUAAAUAAACUCUCAGUUCUUAUACUCUUUGCGAAGUAUAGGCUCUGUGUCUUGUUACCAAUCGAUACCAAGCCAUUUAUUUAUUGCAUGAUAUUUUGGUUUUGACCUCUGCUGCCAUUUAUGUUGUUGGCCUUGCCUGCCCUAGUAUAUGUUGUUUGUUCAUCGCCUGACCCUUGCCUGUUUUUAUGGUAAACACUGCUAUAAGUCCACCACAUGGGAAAUGCUGGUGACUCUUCCUUUUAUUUGUAUUAAAACCACUCAAAUAAAUGUAAUGAUUAAAUCAGUCCAUUAACAACAAA
This is a long non-coding RNA of Ictalurus punctatus (channel catfish), 1727 nucleotides long. RefSeq lists it as uncharacterized. The record is from RefSeq and is a predicted model, not a curated record. The transcript has 2 exons. NCBI's taxonomy places the organism in Eukaryota, Metazoa, Chordata, Actinopteri, Siluriformes, Ictaluridae.